AGGCUAACCUGUCUGGAAGAGAAGGACACAUGGAGAAGGCCCAGGGAUCACUGAUGUCAGAAGCUCAGUGAGACCUAACUAACACUUGAGUGCCCACUGCUGGGGAAUGACUGACCCAUAGUGAACUAAUAUGAUAAUUGCAAAAUGAAGCCUUGUCUUAUAAUUUCAUCAGGGAAUAAUUACUUUAUUGCUCUACUGUAACCAGACAUCAUCUUGUCAACUGCAGAAUAAAACCAGAAAAAGUCAUCUGGCUUCCAGGAGAAGAAGUUGUGUCACUCAUGCAGGAGCAGCUUGUGGUGCACAGGUGGAGUCUCAAACUGGCAGGAAGGUACAAAGAUUCAGACAGAGGAAGGGAUAACACCAAGAAAGAUUUAACAGCAGCUACUGGAUACUGAAAGGAUUACCCACCAGAUAGUGCUCCUCUGAUGCUGAGGGGUUUGCUGGAGUGAAAUGUAGGCCAGAAAAUCAGAGCUGGAAUUCAAGUCCCCAAACCAAAUAUAGCCAGUUAAUUCACAUUGACUUCAAAAUGGAAUAAUGAGGUGACUAAGUACCACAGACCCAUAUCUGGGCUCUAAUGUUUAUUAUUUGCAUUUCCUUAACCAUUGCAUCUGUGGGAUGACUUAAGUUUUUCUUUCACAUGGAAUCAAAAAAAAUUCCCUGAACCAAUGCUGCUCAUGAAAUGACCACAGAUAUUUGUUUCAUGAUCCGUCAGAAGUUUUUCCAAAACUA
This is a long non-coding RNA of Melospiza melodia melodia, 729 nucleotides long. RefSeq lists it as uncharacterized. The transcript is spliced from 3 exons. Lineage: Eukaryota; Metazoa; Chordata; Aves; Passeriformes; Passerellidae. The record is from RefSeq and is a predicted model, not a curated record.